RNAcentral lists this long non-coding RNA (413 nucleotides) under Sorghum bicolor (sorghum). RNAcentral describes it as "long non-coding RNA (SBIC_LNC000054)". The record is from RNAcentral. Lineage: Eukaryota; Viridiplantae; Streptophyta; Magnoliopsida; Poales; Poaceae.
GGGCAUCUGCUUUGCUUCUGCUCCCAUCUCAAAAUCCUCAAGACAGACUGAACAGCCCAACACUUCCUCGAUGUUCACAGUUGGCAGCGCAGCUACUGCUUCCUUCUUGGCAGGUGGUGUGCCAGAACGAUUGAGGUCACUCUCCGCCAAACGCUGCAAGAGAGUAUCUAGGGCAGGACCAAGAAAGUAAUCCCCAAGUGAUACACCAGAACUUGUGUUGCUUGAGUCCUCUUGAUUGUCAUCAGAUCCAAAUGUUCCUUGCAGAAUAAUAGCCUCAUUGUUGGAGUUGAUCAGUAUUAGGCUUUCUGUCCUCUCUCUGCCACGAGCACUCACUCUCUCAAUUUGCCUUGCCCUCUCUCUCUGCCUCUCCAUCCGCUCCUGAAUCCUCUCCCUCGCCAUCCGCCUCUCGAUCC